UUUUACUACUUAUGUAAAACUCCAGCACUGUUUUGUCAAACCUUUGGAAAAAACACUAUGGACAGUCGGUUUCGUCUCUUUAAAUGAUUUCGUUGGAUCCUUUAGAAUAUUUUCACUUCCAUUUAUUUUUGUUUUUUAAUUUUCCUUUAAUUUUAUUUAUAUUUUUUAGCUAAAUUCCCUGUUUUUCCAUGUAAACUGUGAUUUUCCUGCAGCCUUCCAGCCUGUGGCUGAUUUGUCCCUCGUGUCUCCGUGUGUCCAGGUGUCCAUCGGGAAAAUGUACGAGGCUCAGCGGACGGUGGUGGACGCGCCGUGACGCUUCGACCCGGCCUGUGAAAUGCAUUGUGGGAGAUGUAGGCCUGAGUGAAGCUGGACGUUGUUUCUGCCUGAUGUUUCUCAUGUUUCCUCUGCAGGAAAAACUCAAACCUUAGUUUGUUUUUCCUGAAACAUGAAACAUCAGGAGGAUCAGAGUGGCUGGAUGAAAACAUGUGAAACUAAUUGAAGCUGAUUCACGCUUAGUUUUUAUCGAGUCCGUCCGGCAGGAGACGAGGACAGCGCUCAACUGUCAGCCAUUUUCCUCUAUGACGAUAACACUGUUUGUUUUUACAGUGCAGGACUUUAGGUUUCAUCUCUCAAUUGAAUCAAAAUGCUAAUUUUUUUAGUCUAAAAUAAUCUGCAGCCUCCUCCGCCUUCACAUUAAGCCCCGCCCCCAGAGGAGUCACCAUGGCAACGGUUCAUGUAGCAGAUCGUUGUAUUGGGAUCGGUUCUGGUCAAUCAGAUCGUCUCUGAGCUUCUUCCUGUUUCAGUCGUGAAAUUAAAAGUUUCUCUAAUAACGGUUUAAGUUUCUGUUUCUUUAUUCGGUCGGUUUCGUCUCUUUUCUGACUAGUUUUUAUGUCAUUUAUUUUUAUUUUCUCAGUUUUAAGUUUUUUUUAAUGUUGGCAGCUCUGAGUCCAAAAGCCUGAAGCCAUGAAGGGAACCGGGUCGGUCCGGUCCGUGUUCACCGAAGGAUCAAUUUAAACCUGAAACCUGUGAAACGUCUCUGAGCAGAAACGGUCAGUAGACCUUCAUCUUCAUCAGUCCAACCAGGACAGACUGGGUCUAAACUGGUACCGAGAAACAGCUGCCUGUUGGCCAAAGACCAGGAGACGCUCCAACUGGUUCCCUCUGCGAUGCAUUCAGGGACAUCUGGGAACCAGAGCUCCUCUGCGAUGCAUUCAGGGACAUCUGGGAACCAGAGGUCCUCUGCGAUGCAUUCAGGGACAUCUGGGAACCAGAGCUCCUCUGCGACAGAUGCACACUGUUGCUAAUGUGCUAGUAGUGAAGCUAAUGUUUAUUUAGCGCUUAGCUAGCUGAAAACAUUUAGCUUCACCUCAGUUAAUUCUUCUGAAUAAAUUCUUAAACAAUAAAUUUUUUAGGCUGUUUUAUAAAUUUCAGUUAAAUUAACGUGUUGAAGUUUUGUUUAUCGACUGAUCAAAUAAGUUCGCUGUUUCUGUUAUGCUCUUAUUUUGAAGUCUGUUUCCUCUGCUCGCUUCUCUUGUUUUGUUUUAAAUAAACUUUAUUGAGAAAGUUUCUCAACGAGGAGUCCAGAUGAAUGCGACACUUCCAGGAGCGACCACCAGGCGGUGCUGGUGGUUUCUUCUUCUCCUGACGCCGCCCAGGUGUUGGGUGGAGCAGGUGAGUGGCCCCUGGGGCCUCCGGCUGCUAUUCUUAGAUCCGUUUGUUGGUUCAAACACUGAUCUUGUUGCUCAACACCUGCUGGACCUUUUGCACAUGCUCAGUACAGGACGGACUUUAGACCCGGUUCUGACCCACUUCUGAUGAGCCUGCAGAGGAGAAAACAUGGAGGCGAGGCUGAAUGUCCUGAAAAAACUCCUGACUGAAGGUUCCUGUGUCUCCUGUCCAACUGAGGAAGACGAGGACAUGUCGGGUCAUCACGUCUCCAUUUCCUGUCCUACCAUCACAAACGUAACUCAGCUGAGUUUUGAUCAGAUGAUAUUUCAGCUGCAGAAUCUGAGAAACAUGAUAAAUAUGCAGAAAACUCCUCAGUGACGCUGCCAGGCUCGGUGGAGGAUCUGUGGUGCUGAGGGAUUAUCAACAUGCUAUUCAACCAUUUACUCAGAUUUAAACAUUAUUUGAUUUAAAUGAACUCACUAUUUAAUCAAAACACCUGAAGUAAUGUUUAAUGAUGUCAGACUAAAAUACAUUUUUAAAAACUAAAUUAAAA
Poecilia latipinna (sailfin molly) is the source of this 2221-nucleotide long non-coding RNA. RefSeq lists it as uncharacterized. The record is from RefSeq and is a predicted model, not a curated record. NCBI's taxonomy places the organism in Eukaryota, Metazoa, Chordata, Actinopteri, Cyprinodontiformes, Poeciliidae. The transcript is spliced from 2 exons.